GAUCAGCAUGCCGCGGUGAAUACGUUCCCAGGCCUUGUACACACCGCCCGUCACACCAUGGGAGUUGGAUUCACCCGAAGGCAGUGCGCUAACCGCAAGGAGGCAGCUGACCACGGUGGGUUCAGCGACUGGGGUGAAGUCGUAACAAGGUAGCCGUAGGGGAACCUGCGGCUGGAUCACCUCCUUUCUAAGG
Molecule: ribosomal RNA, 193 nt
Filed under: Sphingomonas glacialis
Lineage: Bacteria; Pseudomonadati; Pseudomonadota; Alphaproteobacteria; Sphingomonadales; Sphingomonadaceae
Description: partial 16S ribosomal RNA
Rfam family: Bacterial small subunit ribosomal RNA
Source: RNAcentral